AGCUCCAAUAGCGUAUAUUAAAGUUGUUGCAGUUAAAAAGCUCGUAGUUGGAUUUCUGGCAGAGUGACUCCGGCCAGCAUGCUUGCUUGGUCGGCGCGCCCUACCAUCCUUCGGUAAACCCCUAGGGCUUUCUUUAGUCUUAGGGCGGCUCCGAUAUUUUACCUUGAGAAAAUUAGAGUGUUUCAGGCAGGCUAUAGCCGGAAUACAUUAGCAUGGAAUAAUAGAAAAGGACUACUACCUCUUCUGUUGGUCUGGGAGGCAGCAGUAAUGAUUAAUAGGGAUAGUUGGGGGCAUUAGUACUUAACUGUCAGAGGUGAAAUUCUCCGAUUUGUUAAAGACUAACUUAUGCGAAAGCAUUUGCCAAGGAUGUUUUCA
Molecule: ribosomal RNA, 375 nt
Filed under: uncultured eukaryote
Lineage: Eukaryota
Description: SSU rRNA
Rfam family: Eukaryotic small subunit ribosomal RNA
Source: RNAcentral